AAAAAAAAAAAGCAUGAUGUUUGAGUUUAGAACAAGAUCGUCUCAGUUUGAAUCCUGGUCAUGACUUUAUCAGCACUGUGACCUUAGACCAAUAGCUGCCUCCUCUUGUGGCUCAGUUUCCCCUUCUAGAAAAUGAGACUAUCAGAUCAAUCUCUUCCCAGGGUUGCGAUAGGGAAGUGGCCGGGUUACUAGGUAUUAUGAAGCCCUUCCUGGCGGGGAGGACGCCAUAGGACAGCAAGAGUUACCAACUUUGAAAAUUCACUUUCCAGAGGAUUAGCUCAAGGCUACCAGCAGGGGGCAGCAGAGAACCAUGCCUGCGCCGGUUGCGGAGCCCUCAUCCCAAAUCGUCGGGCGUUUAUCGAGCGUAGAUUGUCUGCUGAGCCGGGCGCUGGGGAUUUGGGGAGCUAGCGGGGCAACUACCGCGGCUUCUGUACUAGAAUAUGCAAAAGCCACCCAGUCCAAACUUUGCAGCCGGACCCUGAAGCCUGCAGAGUCUCCGCUGCCGCCCCCUCCCUUCUUCUCUUCCGGGGUUGCUUCCUGCCUCGGCCUUCCAGAGGAUGUAAGCGGGGCGCGUGGGGUCACAUCGAAGACGAAGUAGCACGCGAACCCGGUCUUCAGCAUUUGCGGAACAACCCAAGAAUUUUGCGUUCUCUCCCCAAGGCCCUGGUUUCCCGUCUGUAAAAUGGGGCUGAGCGGAGAAUGCGCCAUCUAGAAUUAUUGUGCAGGUCAAAAUUAAUGAACGUGAAUGUGAAUUCCUGGGCAUCCCUCCUGCAGACUUGAGCGUCAGUAAGCAUUUGUUAAGCAUCUACUGUGUGCCAUGGCAUGUCCUGGGGACACAGUAAGGGAACCUAAGGAACCAAUCUUCCCGACCACGCCCUCAAAGCUUCGCCACACGCCAAACCCCCUACCUCGCCGGGCAGUUUCAGUCCCUCCGUCCAGCUCCGCCUGCUCCCCACCCCCUCUCUUUCCAGAGCCUAUGGGAGCUAGGUGGAUGGGGGAUUAUCUACAUAUUCAUGAGGUCACCAGCCAAUAUACAGCCAGAACUCGGGUUUGUCUUCAGAGCCUAGGUGAUUGUGACGUCACAGUGACGCCUUUUGCGAUCCUUAAAGACGCAGUAACCUCUCCUAAAGAAGGAAGGCUGGAGACGCAUCUCCUGAUUCCCUUUGGGGUUUGGAAUGUGCUCCGGCCCAAGACCCAGAGGCUCCGUGCAGCCGAGCAAUGCGAGGAGGGCGCACUGGGGACCGUUCCAACCUCAGGCUGUGGGGACACGGAUUUUUGUCCCCUCCUCUCCCUCCAGGUGGUCCAGCCGCUUCACCGCCCACCGGGACUUGUUCCCUCACCUCUGCCCUGGUCCCUGGACUCUGUCACAACAAACCCUGCAAAGACAACAUCACGGGAUCUGUGUACCGAUGGGGAAUUCGGGGCUAAAUCCAGUGAGAGGGGAGAGGCUAGCUCCGCACUCUUCAGGGACACCUUCCAGGUGAUGGCCAGAUCUGUCCUUUGGUCAAUGCUACAUUGCCUGGACUAUGUACUGACAGCGGCUGGCUAGGACAGGUUUUAAACUUUACCAGCCCCAUGAUCUCUGAUGCAACUAUUCAGCUCUGCUGUGAAACCAGCCACGUGUAAGUGAAUGCGCAGGCUGUGUUACAAUAAAAUUUAUUUACAAGACAAGCAGCUGCCUGUGUUUGCAUAUGCCUUACCCACUUCUAACCUGUCAAACUGUUCAGAUUCCUGAUCUCGGUUAUAGUAGGUCUUGGAAUCAGAGAGAUCUGAAUGUUUUUAUUUAUUUAUAUUUUGGGGGGGCAGUCUUUUUGAGACAGGGUGUCGCUAUGCACUUCAGGCUGGCCUUGAGCUCACUUUGUAGCCCAGGCUGGUCUCGAACUCGCAAUGAUCCUCCUGCCUCAGCCUCCCAAAUGCUGGGAUUACAGGCGUGCGCCACCAUGCCCGGCCUGUCCUGCCUUUUGAGCCAGAUUGGAACGAGUUUGUGGCACUCACAGGGCAAGAUAAGACCUAAGAUAAGGCAUUUAGGGAAACUACAGUCCCCUUAUUGCCUGCAUCUUGUCCUUGUCCUUGCAAAAAUGCUGUGUUCCCGGGCGUGGUGGCUCACAGCUGUAAUCCCAGCACUCAGGAGGCUGAGGCAGGAGGAUCACUGUGAGUUCCAGGCCAGCCUGAACUGUGUAGCGAGACCCUGUCUCAAAAAGAUAAAAAAGAAAAAAGCCUCUUCCUGGCCCACCAUAGUCACCAUUACUGUUCCUGGAAACACUCACUGCCCUUCACCCGCUGACCCUGACUCAGACGUAAUGAAUAAUCACCACGGCUCUGGGGUGGGGACGCAGCUCAGCGACACAGCGCCUGCCUGGCAAGUGUGAGGUCCUGAGUGCAAUCCCCAGUACCAAAACCAAAACCAAACCAAGGUUCUGGGUACCUCGUGGCUUUUUGCUCCCCACGAACAACUGGUCGUCCCAGAUCCCUGCUGCACCCCUGUUUGGCUUCUUACUCUUUCUUCCCAGCGUGCGCGGUGACACUUGGCAGGAGACUGGGGACUCACUGCAGGGGUCCCCAGUAAGUGGUGCCAUGGAAAGAUCUCCGCUGUCUCAGCACUGUUUUAAUUUGCAUGUCUCGGAUGACCAGUGAUGUUGGACAUUUUUUCAUAUAUUUAUUUGCCAUUUCUACUUCUUCAUCUGAGAAGUGUCUGUUCAUUUUAGAUGCCCAAGACAGAUCCAAAUUUGUCCCAACUUUGUUCUUCUUUUUCUAUUCCUCUGCCUUUCCAUAUAAAUUUCAAAAUAAGCUUGUUAACAGUUACACAGAGCUAAAUUUAAAAGAAAACAAAACAGUUACACAAAGCGCUGCUGUGUCUCUUUUCUCUUUUUACCGUGCUGGGGAUGAACCCAGGGCCUUAGCACGUGCUAGGCAAGUGCUCACCACUUACUACACCCAGCCUUGAAAUUAGAAAAGAGAGAUAGGGAGGGGCUAGAGUCCCACAUCCUCUUCAAGGCCACACCCCCAAUGACCUUGCUUCCUCCCACUAGGCUCCGCCUCUUAAAGGUUCUACUACCUCCAAAUUGGGCUAAGCUGGGAACAAAAUCUUCAACACAUAGGUCUUUAUGAGACACCAGAUCUGAACUAGAGCACUUGCUACAGAUGUCCCCCAGGCCCCUCCUGCUGGUAUAGUUUAGAUGAGGAGUCUCCUGUGGUUCUUACCUCUCACCACCACUCCUACCCCAUAUGCCAUGGGCCUUUUUUUUUCUUCUGAGACAGGGUCUCACUAUGUAGUUCAGGCUGGCCUCGAACUCGAGGUGUUCUUCCUGCCUCAGCCUCCUUAGUGCUAGGAUUCUUACUCUUUCUUCCUACUGUGGGUGGCUCUGCCAUGAGCCUUUCUUUCUUUUUUUUUUUUUAAACCUCUUCUGCCCCCAAGAAUAAUCUCUUUGGGUUGGGCUGGGGCUCCGUGGUGAGCACUUGCCUAAUGAGUGCAAAGACCCUGGGGUCCAGUCUCAGCACUAUGACAAUAAUAAUAGCAAUAAUUGUUUUAUACUUAAUUUUCUGUAUUUUAGUAUUUUGUCACACCUGCUAGGGAAGUGCUCCCCACUGAGCUACACCCCAGCCCUUUUUGUUUUUGAUUUUUGUUAGGUUGGUUUUUUUCCAGUACUGGGAAUCGAACUCACGACCUCGUGUUUGCCAGGCAAGUGCUGUGCCGCUGAGCUAAAUCCCCAGCCCCCCCCUUUUUAUUUGGAGACAGGAUCUCACUAAAUUGCCCAGGCUGGACUUGAAUUUACAUUCCUACUGCCGCAGCC
Molecule: long non-coding RNA, 3791 nt
Organism: Chinchilla lanigera (long-tailed chinchilla)
Lineage: Eukaryota; Metazoa; Chordata; Mammalia; Rodentia; Chinchillidae
Source: Ensembl